GGGCCCGUGGCGCAACCGGAUAGCGCGACUAGGAAACUCGUAAGGCUUCGGACCAGUUGGUUGGGGGUUCAAAUCCCCCCGGGCCCG
RNAcentral lists this transfer RNA (87 nucleotides) under Microcaldota archaeon. RNAcentral's name for it is "tRNA-OTHER". It matches the Rfam family "tRNA". From Rfam's summary of the family: Transfer RNA (tRNA) molecules are approximately 80 nucleotides in length. Their secondary structure includes four short double-helical elements and three loops (D, anti-codon, and T loops). The record is from RNAcentral. Lineage: Archaea; Nanobdellati; Microcaldota.